Molecule: long non-coding RNA, 460 nt
Organism: Grammomys surdaster
Lineage: Eukaryota; Metazoa; Chordata; Mammalia; Rodentia; Muridae
Exons: 2
Source: RefSeq, a predicted model, not a curated record
AGGGAGAACUGAAAACCAGUGGCUCACCUCCUGGCUCAGAGGACUUGAUAAGAAGUGUCCAGCUGGUCAGGUUGUACAAGAAAGCUGAUAAGAGCUGGUGUCCAGCCCAACUCUUGCUUGUCAGGUUUCUAAAUGCGGAGGGACCUGAACCAUCUUCUCGUCGGCACACUCCUGUGGAGUAGGAGAGGCUGCUGGGGAAGCUCCCACAGGGGAAGCAGGAGAUGCCCAGGCCUCUGCCUUCUCAGACAGCCUUCUCCACCAAAAGAUGCAGACAAUUCAUUUCCCACCAUCAUGGGCACAGUUUAGCCUUCAAUUUUCCUGACUACCUCAGGAUUAACUCAGUGAGACUUCCCUGGACCAUUUAAGGGAGCACCACACUUCUUUCUAUUCCCCAGAAAUUGUAACCCGGACUUGGUUUUGUGAUGCUAAUUGCCUUAUCUUCAUAAAUUCUACAGUCUUA